Molecule: long non-coding RNA, 266 nt
Organism: Grus americana (Whooping crane)
Lineage: Eukaryota; Metazoa; Chordata; Aves; Gruiformes; Gruidae
Exons: 3
Source: RefSeq, a predicted model, not a curated record
GAGGUUCAAAAAACACGGUUAUGGCUACGUUCAUGCAGCAAAGAUCAUGAGCUUCUUCCACAUGAAAUAGUGCAAGGAUGCAGUGCAUCUGAAAAGAUCUCCAGUAAAAUAGAAGUGAUUUUCUCCUAAACUUUGGAAAUGGAGUAUUAAAAACUGCGUGACCCUGAGGCAUGCUGAGCACCUGGAAGAACACUUUAGAAUCAGCCAGUGUCUCCAGAAACCCUGACCACGUGUCACCUGAUGGACGUAUUUGUAUUGCAGAAGCC